CUAGGUGGUAGAUAGGCCGGGGGUGUAAGUACAGCGAUGUAUUAAGCCGACCGGUACUAAUAGAUCGAGGUCUUGACCU
Molecule: ribosomal RNA, 79 nt
Filed under: Thermosyntropha lipolytica DSM 11003
Lineage: Bacteria; Bacillati; Bacillota; Clostridia; Eubacteriales; Syntrophomonadaceae
Description: 23S rRNA. Bacterial LSU
Source: RNAcentral